AACCCAUGCAUAGGACAUUUCCACAAUAAAUCCUUGAAUCUUUAACAUGCUUCAUACAAGCUUUUAUCCUUCAUUUUCUUGAAUGAAUUAAGAACAUUUAGGAGUUU
Molecule: small nucleolar RNA, 107 nt
Organism: Hibiscus syriacus
Lineage: Eukaryota; Viridiplantae; Streptophyta; Magnoliopsida; Malvales; Malvaceae
Source: RefSeq, a predicted model, not a curated record